This 1236-nucleotide ribosomal RNA is filed under the name metagenome. RNAcentral's name for it is "bacterial LSU rRNA". It matches the Rfam family "Bacterial large subunit ribosomal RNA", at positions 1561 to 2925 of the family's 2925-position model. The record is from RNAcentral.
AGUGGAUGGGGAGCAACCUAGUUGUGCGUGUGUAAAGGUAGUGCCAAGAAAAGCGAUGAUCAUGUUGAAAAUCAAUUCCCGGUACCCGAAACCGACACAGGUGGGCAAGUAGAGAAUACUAAGGGGCGCGAGGUAACUCUCUCCAAGGAACUCGGCAAAAUGACCCCGUAACUUAGGGAGAAGGGGUGCCACCGAGAGGUGGUCGCAGUGAAGAGGCCCAGGCGACUGUUUAGCAAAAACAUAGGUCUCUGCAAACUCGAAAGAGGAGGUAUAGAGGCUGACGCCUGCCCAGUGCCGGAAGGUUAAAGAAGUUGGUCAGUCUUAGGAUGAAGCUAGCGACUGAAGCCCCGGUGAACGGCGGCCGUAACUAUAACGGUCCUAAGGUAGCGAAAUUCCUUGUCGGGUAAGUUCCGACCCGCACGAAAGGCGUAACGAUCUGGGCGCUGUCUCGGAGAGAGGCUCGGCGAAAUAGGAUUGUCUGUGAAGAUACGGACUACCUGCAUUUGGACAGAAAGACCCUAUGAAGCUUUACUAUAGCUUGGAAUUGUGUUCGGGCUUCCUGUGCGCAGGAUAGGUGGGAGGCGUAGAAGGUAUUCUUGGGGGCGGUCGCCUCCAAAAAGGUAACGGAGGCGUACAAAGGUUCCCUCAGACUGGUUGGAAAUCAGUCGAAGAGUGCAAAGGCAGAAGGGAGCUUGACUGCGAGAAGUACAGUUCGAGCAGGGUGGAAACACGGUCUUAGUGAUCCGACGGUGCUGUGUGGAAGGGCCGUCGCUCAACGGAUAAAAGUUACUCUAAGGAUAACAGGCUGAUCUCCCCCAAGAGUUCACAUCGACGGGGAGGUUUGGCACCUCGAUGUCGGCUCAUCGCAACCUGGGGCGGAAGUACGUCCCAAGGGUUGGGCUGUUCGCCCAUUAAAGCGGUACGUGAGCUGGGUUCAGAACGUCGUGAGACAGUUCGGUCCAUAUCCGAUGUAGGCGUGAGAAUAUUGAGAGGAGCCUUCCUUAGUACGAGAGGACCGGGAAGGACGCACCGCUGGUGUACCUGUUAUGAUGCCAAUUGUAAACGCAGGGUGGCCAAGUGCGGAGAGGAUAACCGCUGAAAGCAUCUAAGUGGGAAGCCCACCUCAAGAUGAGUAUUCUGGUGUAAGGUCACGGGAAGACGACCCGUAAAUAGGCACGAGGUGGAAGUGCAGAGAUGUAUGAAGCCGAAGUGUACUAAUAGACCGUCGGCUUGACC